RNAcentral lists this unclassified non-coding RNA (376 nucleotides) under Hevea brasiliensis (rubber tree). Lineage: Eukaryota; Viridiplantae; Streptophyta; Magnoliopsida; Malpighiales; Euphorbiaceae. The record is from RNAcentral.
AGCAAAUAUUUCAAGACCGAAAUUUCUUUGAUGCAUAUUUGCAAUAUGUUGAUCUAAGGAAUAUUACCGAGGAAGAGGCAAAAUGGUUGGAGACGCCAUUCACUAAUGAUGAAAUUAAGAUUGCUAUUUGGAGCUGCGGGUCAUAGAAAUCACUUGGGCCGGAACAGUUUCAGCUUCUUCUUCUACAAAAGGCAUGUAACCCUUAAAGGGUGACAUAUGUAAUAUGAUUCACACCUUUUCAGCAUGGGAAAGCUUCCUCGCCAUGUGAAAUCUUCUUUAAUUGUGCUAGUACCUAAGGUUUGCUCUCCCACCAUGAUGUUUGAUUAUCAGCCUAUCAGUUUGAUUCACGAUCACUGUAAAAUUGUUAUGAAGAUGU